RNAcentral lists this ribosomal RNA (433 nucleotides) under uncultured bacterium. Its description in RNAcentral is "partial 16S ribosomal RNA". It matches the Rfam family "Bacterial small subunit ribosomal RNA", at positions 29 to 507 of the family's 1533-position model. The record is from RNAcentral.
AACGAGCGCUGGCGGCAUGCCUAACACAUGCAAGUCGAACGAGACCUUCGGGUCUAGUGGCGCACGGGUGCGUAACGCGUGGGAACCUGCCCUUAGGUUCGGAAUAACUCCCCGAAAGGGGUGCUAAUACCGGAUAAUGUCUUCGGACCAAAGAUUUAUCGCCUUUGGAUGGGCCCGCGUUGGAUUAGCUAGUUGGUAGGGUAAAAGCCUACCAAGGCGACGAUCCAUAGCUGGUCUGAGAGGAUGAUCAGCCACACUGGGACUGGGACACGGCCCAGGACCCCACGGGAGGCAGCAGUGGGGAAUAUUGGACAAUGGGCGAAAGCCUGAUCCAGCAAUGCCGCGUGAGUGAUGAAGGCCUUAGGGUUGUAAAGCUCUUUUACCCGGGAUGAUAAUGACAGUACCGGGAGAAUAAGCUCCGGCUAACUCCGUG